Molecule: transfer RNA, 65 nt
Filed under: Urocitellus parryii (Arctic ground squirrel)
Lineage: Eukaryota; Metazoa; Chordata; Mammalia; Rodentia; Sciuridae
Also listed under: 1 other name
Description: Spermophilus parryii (Arctic ground squirrel) tRNA
Rfam family: tRNA
About the family: Transfer RNA (tRNA) molecules are approximately 80 nucleotides in length.
Source: Rfam by way of RNAcentral
GGUGUAGCUAAGUGGUAGAGCACGUGCUUAGCAGAUACAAGGCUCUGGGUUCAAUUUCCAGCACC